This 3043-nucleotide ribosomal RNA is filed under the name Mycosphaerella hyperici. Its description in RNAcentral is "SSU rRNA". The stretch from base 1 to 1692 matches the Rfam family "Eukaryotic small subunit ribosomal RNA". Lineage: Eukaryota; Fungi; Ascomycota; Dothideomycetes; Mycosphaerellales; Mycosphaerellaceae. RNAcentral also lists the same sequence under 1 other name. The record is from RNAcentral.
UUAUCGUUUAUUUGAUAGUACCUUACUACAUGGAUAACCGUGGUAAUUCUAGAGCUAAUACAUGCUAAAAACCCCGACUUCGGAAGGGGUGUAUUUAUUAGAUAAAAAACCAAUGCCCUUCGGGGCUCCUUGGUGAAUCAUAAUAACUUAACGAAUCGCAUGGCCUUGCGCCGGCGAUGGUUCAUUCAAAUUUCUGCCCUAUCAACUUUCGAUGGUAGGAUAGUGGCCUACCAUGGUAUCAACGGGUAACGGGGAAUUAGGGUUCGACUCCGGAGAGGGAGCCUGAGAAACGGCUACCACAUCCAAGGAAGGCAGCAGGCGCGCAAAUUACCCAAUCCCGACACGGGGAGGUAGUGACAAUAAAUACUGAUACAGGGCUCUUUUGGGUCUUGUAAUUGGAAUGAGUACAAUUUAAAUCCCUUAACGAGGAACAAUUGGAGGGCAAGUCUGGUGCCAGCAGCCGCGGUAAUUCCAGCUCCAAUAGCGUAUAUUAAAGUUGUUGCAGUUAAAAAGCUCGUAGUUGAACCUUGGGCCUGGCUGGCCGGUCCGCCUCACCGCGUGUACUGGUCCGGCCGGGCCUUUCCUUCUGGGGAACCUCAUGCCCUUCACUGGGCGUGCUGGGGAACCAGGACUUUUACUUUGAAAAAAUUAGAGUGUUCAAAGCAGGCCUUUGCUCGAAUACAUUAGCAUGGAAUAAUAGAAUAGGACGUGUGGUUCUAUUUUGUUGGUUUCUAGGACCGCCGUAAUGAUUAAUAGGGAUAGUCGGGGGCAUCAGUAUUCAAGCGUCAGAGGUGAAAUUCUUGGAUUGCUUGAAGACUAACUACUGCGAAAGCAUUUGCCAAGGAUGUUUUCAUUAAUCAGUGAACGAAAGUUAGGGGAUCGAAGACGAUCAGAUACCGUCGUAGUCUUAACCAUAAACUAUGCCGACUAGGGAUCGGACGGUGUUAGUAUUUUGACCCGUUCGGCACCUUACGAGAAAUCAAAGUUUUUGGGUUCUGGGGGGAGUAUGGUCGCAAGGCUGAAACUUAAAGAAAUUGACGGAAGGGCACCACCAGGCGUGGAGCCUGCGGCUUAAUUUGACUCAACACGGGGAAACUCACCAGGUCCAGACACAAUAAGGAUUGACAGAUUGAGAGCUCUUUCUUGAUUUUGUGGGUGGUGGUGCAUGGCCGUUCUUAGUUGGUGGAGUGAUUUGUCUGCUUAAUUGCGAUAACGAACGAGACCUUAACCUGCUAAAUAGCCAGGCCCGCUUUGGCGGGUCGCCGGCUUCUUAGAGGGACUAUCGGCUCAAGCCGAUGGAAGUUUGAGGCAAUAACAGGUCUGUGAUGCCCUUAGAUGUUCUGGGCCGCACGCGCGCUACACUGACAGAGCCAACGAGUUCAUUUCCUUGUCCGAAAGGUCUGGGUAAUCUUGUUAAACUCUGUCGUGCUGGGGAUAGAGCAUUGCAAUUAUUGCUCUUCAACGAGGAAUGCCUAGUAAGCGCAUGUCAUCAGCAUGCGUUGAUUACGUCCCUGCCCUUUGUACACACCGCCCGUCGCUACUACCGAUUGAAUGGCUCGGUGAGGCCUUCGGACUGGCCCAGGGAGGUCGGCAACGACCACCCAGGGCCGGAAAGUUGGUCAAACCCGGUCAUUUAGAGGAAGUAAAAGUCGUAACAAGGUCUCCGUAGGUGAACCUGCGGAGGGAUCAUUACAAGUUGACCCCGGCCCUCGGGCCGGGAUGUUCACAACCCUUUGUUGUCCGACUCUGUUGCCUCCGGGGCGACCCUGCCUCCGGGCGGGGGCCCCGGGUGGACAUUUCAAACUCUUGCGUAACUUUGCAGUCUGAGUAAAUUUAAUUAAUAAAUUAAAACUUUCAACAACGGAUCUCUUGGUUCUGGCAUCGAUGAAGAACGCAGCGAAAUGCGAUAAGUAAUGUGAAUUGCAGAAUUCAGUGAAUCAUCGAAUCUUUGAACGCACAUUGCGCCCCCUGGUAUUCCGGGGGGCAUGCCUGUUCGAGCGUCAUUUCACCACUCAAGCCUCGCUUGGUAUUGGGCGACGCGGUCCGCCGCGCGCCUCAAAUCGACCGGCUGGGUCUUUCGUCCCCUCAGCGUUGUGGAAACUAUUCGCUAAAGGGUGCCGCGGGAGGCCACGCCGUAAAACAACCCCAUUUCUAAGGUUGACCUCGGAUCAGGUAGGGAUACCCGCUGAACUUAAGCAUAUCAAUAAGCGGAGGAAAAGAAACCAACAGGGAUUGCUCUAGUAACGGCGAGUGAAGCAGCAAUAGCUCAAAUUUGAAAUCUGGCGUCUUCGGCGUCCGAGUUGUAAUUUGUAGAGGAUGCUUCUGGGCAGCCACCGACCUAAGUUCCUUGGAACAGGACGUCAUAGAGGGUGAGAAUCCCGUAUGCGGUCGGAAAGGCACCCUACACGUAGCUCCUUCGACGAGUCGAGUUGUUUGGGAAUGCAGCUCUAAAUGGGAGGUAAAUUUCUUCUAAAGCUAAAUAUUGGCCAGAGACCGAUAGCGCACAAGUAGAGUGAUCGAAAGAUGAAAAGCACUUUGGAAAGAGAGUUAAAAAGCACGUGAAAUUGUUGAAAGGGAAGGGAUUGCAACCAGACUUGCUCGCGGUGUUCCGCCGGUCUUCUGACCGGUCUACUCGCCGCGUUGCAGGCCAGCAUCGUCUGGUGCCGCUGGAUAAGACUUGAGGAAUGUAGCUCCCUCGGGAGUGUUAUAGCCUCUUGUGAUGCAGCGAGCGCCGGGCGAGGUCCGCGCUUCGGCUAGGAUGCUGGCGUAAUGGUUGUAAUCCGCCCGUCUUGAAACACGGACCAAGGAGUCUAACAUCUAUGCGAGUGUUCGGGUGUCAAACCCCUACGCGUAAUGAAAGUGAACGGAGGUGAGAACCGCAAGGUGCAUCAUCGACCGAUCCUGAUGUCUUCGGAUGGAUUUGAGUAUGAGCAUAGCUGUUGGGACCCGAAAGAUGGUGAACUAUGCCUGAAUAGGGUGAAGCCAGAGGAAACUCUGGUGGAGGCUCGCAGCGGUUCUGACGUGCAAAUCGAUCGUCAAAUUU